ACGGGUGAGUAAUGCAUAGGAACGUACCUUCGAGUGGGGAACAACCACGGGAAACCGUGGCUGAUACCGCAUAAUCUAGUAAUAGUAAAGAUGGCCUCUAUUUAUAAGCUAUCGCUUGAAGAUCGGCCUAUGCCCCAUUAGCUAGUUGGUAAGGUAAUGGCUUACCAAGGCAACGAUGGGUAGCUGGUCUGAGAGGACGACCAGCCACACUGGAACUGAGACACGGUCCAGACUCCUACGGGAGGCAGCAGUGGGGAAUCUUGCACAAUGGAGGAAACUCUGAUGCAGCGAUGCCGCGUGAGUGAAGAAGGCCUUCGGGUUGUAAAGCUCUUUCGAUUGGGAAGAAGGGUGCUACUGCGAACAGUUGUAGCAUUUGACGGUACCUAGAGAAGAAGCACCGGCUAACUCCGUGCCAGCAGCCGCGGUAAUACGGAGGGUGCAAGCGUUGUUCGGAAUUACUGGGCGUAAAGCGCACGUAGGCGGGUUUGUAAGUCGAUUGUGAAAGCCCCGGGCUCAAUCCGGGAACUGCAGUCGAAACUACAAGUCUUGAAUGCUCUAGAGGGUGACGGAAUUCCUGGUGUAGAAGUG
Molecule: ribosomal RNA, 588 nt
Filed under: uncultured bacterium
Lineage: Bacteria
Description: bacterial SSU rRNA
Rfam family: Bacterial small subunit ribosomal RNA
Source: RNAcentral